Mercurialis annua (annual mercury) is the source of this 4022-nucleotide long non-coding RNA. RefSeq lists it as uncharacterized. The transcript is spliced from 3 exons. Lineage: Eukaryota; Viridiplantae; Streptophyta; Magnoliopsida; Malpighiales; Euphorbiaceae. The record is from RefSeq and is a predicted model, not a curated record.
AUCUUGAGGUCCUCCUCGCCCCCAGUCUUUAUUUCCAAUUGCUUCAGCCGCUGCUUCCAGUGAAGCUUUCAUGUACUGUCCAUGACAGAGGAAAUUUCCAUGUUCCAUUGCCUUCUGGAUAGGCUGGGUAUCUCAGCUCUCCACAAGGACCCAUGCCUACUUGAACUUCCUGCAAUACAAAUUGACUCAACUUCUUAAGCUUCAAGAAACGACUUCUUUACUAAUUGGUGGGAGGACCUCUAUUUUUCUACUUCUGUUAUGUACUUUGCUUUUUGCUAUGUUGGUAUAGGAUAAUUGUAAUAUCCUCCACAUUAACAUCUUUUUUGAUGAAUUUGUCUCUAAAUUUUUUGGCAACCUAAUCAAUUCAUUUUUGUGACCUGCCUCCUGUGUAAUUUGAAAUUCUGGUUUCCUUAUUGGCAUUGAGGACUGCUGAGUAAUGGAUCUAUUUAAUUACUUUUCUUCCUUAUGUAUAUCUUGUUCUAGUUCACCCUAUUUCUUUUAAUCUGUUUUUUUGUGUGUUCUUUAAGAACCUAUUUGUAAGGGUGAGUAUUCGUUCGGUUUCACCGAACUGACAAUCUCCUCGAUCGACCGAAUAGCUAAAACUGAACCGAACAAAUAAAGAAUUCUAACCGAAACCGAAUCGACCGAGUUAGAAAAGGAAUAAAAUUUCAAAACCGACCGAAUAGGUCGAUAAUUUGGUCGGUUCGGUUAAAGCCGAAUAAAAUACAAGAUAAAGUUUUUAGUUUAUUCAAUUGGUUUGGUUAUAUGGGUAAUUUAAUUAUCAAACCGAACUGAAAACCAAAUACCAAAUUUUUUAUUAUAUCAAAACCAAACCAACUGAACUUAAAGUUAUAACCGAAUCGAACCGACCAAAAGUCAUCGGUUCAGUCGGUUAAAUGGCCUGCCAGUUUUUUUUGCUCAACCCUACCUAUUUGUUCACUAUCAUUUCCUUGGUUAGACUCUUGUGGGACUUGGGAAAGGGCAAAGCAAGAAUACAAAGGCAUAUUGCCAUCUGUUAAGGAAUAAUAAUUGUAAUAAUUGUCAUUAUUGACAAGCUUAAUACGCAAUGUUAUAAUAGGUGAAGGAUGGGGUCUAGUUAUGGAUAGCUUAUCUUUGGAAGGUUCAUGGAAAGUAGGAGUUGAUUUCUGGUUAAAAAUAAGUGAGUAGUAUCAGCUUAGAAAUUGUGCUUUAAAUUUUUUGUGCUGUACAGAAGAUAAACUAAAGUCUAAUCACUAAUGAAAACUAUUGUUCUCGUAAUCCUAAGCUUCGCAUUUUCUAUCUUUCAUAGCAUACAGGAUUUGUGUUUUUUUUUUCCAUAGAGAAGAAAAAUAAAAAAAGCUAUUUUCUGCUGCUUUCUAGAAGUAGGUUAAUUAUUUCUAGUUAUUCGAAAAAUUCCAACUUUAUAUCUCCUACUUUACUUUCUCCUGUUUCUGUAUACUUCAAAUGUGUGUAUGAGCGAUAAAGCAGCUUUCUGUGUUUCAAUUUUACUAUUCUUUUAUGAUCUCGUUUCUAUCUGCUUUUAAGUGCGGCCUUUUCAACUUCAAAUGCAUUCUUGUCUUUUUUCUGGGUGAUUGUAUAAUGUGAUUAGAGAUUAAAUACAUGUAGUUUGAUAUAUUAGUAGCCUUUUAACUCUCUCUUGAUGCACUUGUCAUUUGUCAGUUUAUUGCUCACAAUUUUCUUUUCUAAUGCAUAUGCAUGAAUAGGGAUGUCUCCUAAACUUGAUUAAAGAUUCUGGUUUCAGCCCAUUGUGCUCUGUUUACGUUACGAUUAUGUUUUUUUUACUGUAAUUUCUUUUGUUUCUUUUUGUGACACAAUUUGGUGAUUAUAUCAUGUGUCUACUUUUCUUCUAUUGCUUGAAGUUUAGAAGCUUACCACGAUAACUUCUCCUAGGUAAUCUUGAAAUCUGUCGCGGAAGCUCCUCAUGUAAUCAGUGUAAACUUGUAUGGGUGUUCUCCCUCUUAGAACUGGUAAUGAGUCGCAACCCAAGGAAAUGUACUCAGGAUUCCUUCUACCUGAUCUGUCUGUGUAGACUAGUUCAGGAUUUUUACUGAUUUCUUCCAGCACCCAUGGAGGAAGGGUGAUGCUAAAAUGUCAAGAGAAAAAUUGAAUUAGUUACUCAACCCAUUUUUAGAAACAGAAUUGAAGUCUGGCUAACAUUUAAUAGUUAUGCUCUCGAGUAAUGCAAAAAUUAUUUCUAGCUAAAUGAUUCUUUUCUAUUUUUGUAAGAGAUAGGAAUAAAGUUAAAAGCUAUUGCACGUCGCAGUCCAUCCGGUCCUCUGCUAAAUGUUAAAGAUUAGAUCCUCAAGUACCUGUAUGAAUCUCCAACAUUUCCUCCACAUUGAUGGAAGGACAUAACAGCUUGAAGCUUCAAACCAUGCUUCUGCACCAUAUGCACAAGUUCAGCGUACCCUUCCCAGUUGUACUUUAGCGGUCCAUCUUUUUCCACCAAUCCCCACCAAGCAUCAACCAUCACUCCUUCAGCUCCUGCAUUCUUCAAGGCCAUCAAACUAGCAUUCAUUGCUCGCGGCCUGUUUAGUUUCCCCCCAAGCGUGACCGUGUCAAGUGGCAACAUCACAAAAACUGGCACCUUAGAGUCAUUACUACUUUGCACAUUGGAUUUUGCAUGUAGCUGUUCGUGCUUGCUACUCUUCAUGCUUUCCAUGAUGAGAAUGUCAUCGUGUGAGAGAUGUGCUUCUUCCAUUGAAUUCUUUGCUCGAAGACAGCAUAAUGGCUUGAUUUGUGCAAAGCGAAUUGUGCUAGAGAAGUCAUCCGACGUCUUGAGGCUUUUGGUGUCCUUAAGAUUGAGAAAAGAAGUUGAAGAAUGUAAUGUCAAAGACAUAUUUCUGUUUGGGGUUCUGAGAACUGAAGAGGGAGAAGAGAUGUAGAAACAAGCAAAGAUUGCAAGUGUUUAUUUAUAAAGAAAAUUCUGAUUCAAGGUUUGAAGAAGACAUUGUUGGUGGGCUCUAGUUUAAAAUAGAAAUAGAGCAAAAUAUCAAAAUUUAUAAGCUCUCCUAUUCAAAAUCUUUUCACCAUACACGUUAUCACCUUUGCCAUAUUUAAUACAGACAAAAUAACAAAUUUCAAUAUAUGUCGGUCAUCCAUUUUGUUGAUCUCUUUUUUCCCUUCAAUUGUGGAAUGCCGACUCAAAGAUAUAUCUGGCAUUUCGUAACUUGAGUAUUGAAAUAUCUUGGAUGAUGUAAGCAUUGGAUAUUUCAGUUUGUUCCUUUCAUCGCAAUGAGCCACGCGACUGUUCAAAUGGCUGUAACUCGCAGAAGUUACCUACAGUAAAUAUUUUUGUGAUUUUGGAUUGAUAAUUUGCUUUCCCCACUCUGUUCCUCUCUUCUAAUUGUAGUUUAUGCAUAUCUAGUGAGUCUGGCAGGGUAUCAAUUUUUUUAGGAUGUUAGUUGAUAUCAAGAUGGAUCUUUGUGAUAGUAAUAUUAUUUUAUUACUAUUGCUGUAUUAGUUGUUUCUGUAUUAUUCAUUCUUAUUUUUGUUUUUUUUUUUAUUUAGAUGGCAUGUAAGAAAGUAUUAUUCACUGAGUUUAUUCUCUUCAAUUUGGUCAUCAGCAAAUAAAAUUGAUUGGCGUGAUAUUAAUAGUCGACUGUCGUCACAUUUAUGCCAGACACUUUAGACUCUCGCACACGCGUGUGCACGCUUACAUGCAUACUUUACGAAAUGUGCAUAAGUUCGAUAAGAUGACCGAAGAACGAAAGUGAACGGAAAUGAAGAAACUACAGUGGUGAUAUCUAUUGAAAGUGUCAAUUUUGUAUAGGUGAAGGUAAAAUUUAAAAGCAGGUGAAAAUGUAGGAUAAACCUUCUUUGGUUGAUGUUAGUUUCCAUCUCUUUAUCAAACAAUCAACUUUAUUUGGUAGAUAUUAGUCUACGUUCUCUAUUUCUCUAUCCUUGAUUGAGAAUCUAGUUUCAUUUUCAUAAAUGAAAUAAGGUGAUCUUGGCAAUAUGCAUGAUUAGAUCCCUGCACUAUCACAUUUUUUUAAAUUGGAUUCUUCCACUUUUAUUUGUUA